This is an RNA transcript of Homo sapiens (human), 3117 nucleotides long. It is a transcript of the gene named PDE4DIP pseudogene 5, with no coding region annotated. Lineage: Eukaryota; Metazoa; Chordata; Mammalia; Primates; Hominidae. The transcript has 12 exons. The record is from RefSeq and is a predicted model, not a curated record.
CUGUGAGGACUGCCAGAACGCUGUCACCUCUCAAAAUGACGUAGAGUUUGCAGAUAACCUACUCACAUCCUCCCGUAUGCUAUGUAAAUAGUUGUUAUGUGGUAUUGUUUAGGGAAUAAUGACAAAGAAAAAAGUCCAUAUAUGUACAGUGCAAACACAAUAAUAAGUUUUCAAAAAAUAUUUUGGAGUCAGGCCUGGUUGAAUCCAUGGAUGCAGAACCUACAGAUAUGGAGGAUCAAAUGUAAUAUGUUUAAUUCAGGAAUUGCGAAAAGCCUUGCAGCAGCUACAAGAAUUGCAGAAUAAGAGCCAACAGCUUCGUGCCUGGGAGGCUGAAAAAUACAAUGAGAUUCGAACCCAGGAACAAAACGUCCAGCACCUAAACCAUAGUCUGAGUCACAAGGAGCAGUUGCUUCAGGAAUUUCGGGAGCUCCUACAGUAUCGAGAUAACUCAGACAAAACCCUUGAAGCAAAUGAAACGUUGCUUGAGAAACUUCGCCAGCGAAUACAUGAUAAAGCUGUUGCUCUGGAGAGCACUCCCAGGAGAUGGAAAGCCUGAGGGAGGCUCUGCUGUCCUCUCGAUCCCACCUUCAAGAGCUGGAAGAGGAGCUGGAGCACCAGAAGGUGGAAAGGCAGCAGCUUUUGGAAGACUUGAGGGAGAAGCAGCAAGAGGUCUUGCAUUUCAGGGAGGAACGCCUUUCCCUCCAGGAAAACGACUCCAGCUUACAGCCUGGAUGUCUGUCACCAAAUCCCUUUGAGCAGUGACUUGAGCCACCUGGUGGCAGAGGUACGAGGUCUGAGAGGGCAGCUGGAGAACAGCAUUCAGGGGAACAAUUGUCUGUGACUGCAGCUGCAACAGCAGCUGGAUAGCCUGCUGGCAAAGCCAGCCUCAGCCCCUCCUCUGUUAACCAGAACUUCCCAGCCAGCGCUGACCCUGGAAACAAGCAGCUGCUCCUCCAAGAUUCAGCUGUGUCCCCUCCAGUCCGGGAUGUUGGUAUGAAUUCCCCAGCUCUGGUCCUCCCCAGCUCUGCUUCCUCUACUCCUGGCUCAGAAACGGCCAUAAUCAACAGAACACAUGGUGCUAGGCAGCAAAGGCAUUCAUGAGCUUCGGAGCAGCACCAGUGCCCUGCACCAUGCCCUAGAGGAGUCGGCUUCCCUCCUCACCAUGUUCUGGAGAGUGGCCCUGCCAAGCACCCACAUCCCUGUGCUGCCUGGCAAAGUGGGAGAAUCAACAGAAAGGGAACUUCUGGAACUGAGAACCAAAGUAUCCAAACAGGAGCGGCUACUUCAGAGCACAGCUGAGCAUCUGAAGAACGCCAACCAGCAGAAGGAGAGCAUGGAGCAGUUCAUCGUCAGCCAGCUAACCAGAACACAUGAUGUUUUAAAGAAGGCGAGGACUAACUUAGAGAGCAGCACUUACAGGAUUGCCUGUGUAAAGCCUUAUUCCUGUCCCAGAAAAGGUGAAAUCCCUAAGGGCUCUGCUGUGUACUCCAGCCUUGUGACCCUUGCUUUCCAGGAACCAUGCAAGAAGCGCAGCCACCAGAAGUCCUUAUAUAGGAUUUGAGUUUGAUGUCUUGCAUACAAUGUGAUCCCACUGUAUGACUACACAAAUGUUGGCAAAAGUGAGUUCAGAGGAAAUGGUAGGCAAGUACUUCCCAGUUUUGGCCAGAAGAUGGAGAAAAAAAUAAUUCUCAAAAAAUGUUAAAGGUAUGACCUGUUAUAUUUUCUUUUCACAGUAAUUUAGACAGAAAUUAGCAAAAUCAAAAAUGUAUAAAUACUUUGGUCUGACAAUUCCAUCUCCAGGUGUCUACAGAGAAAUAGACAAGCGAUGCACGACAGAUACAUGUGUCAGUCUGGUCCCUGCAGUUGUAUUUGUAAUAAUACACAUUGGAGCAAUUUCAUGGCCAUCAGUUAGAGAAUGUUUGAGGAAUGAUCCAUUCAUAUCAAGAAGGACAUUUCAAAGAUCAAAGCGUGAUGGAAAUGCUGGAGACCAUGGCACUGAUAGGAGCUCAUGCGUGUUGACCAAUUACUACGUGACAGGCAUUGGCUCCAUGCUUUUCCUGCACGGCUCAUUUAAACACUGGACAACCUAAGUGUUCUGAUUUAGCCCAUUGGACAGAUAGAAAUGGAGGCACAGAAGAUUAAUGUGUUUAACUUCAAACCCUGGCAGAUUAGGUUUUUCAUCCAGAGCCUGUGGCUUCACCAUAGCUGUGAUUCACGUUCUGUCAUUCUCCACUUUAGGAAUUUCCAGUAUUCCAAAUAUGAGAAGCUGAGAAAACAAACAACAAACUCAAAACCCUAAAAACCAGGAUACGUAAGGGUAGAUGUUUGUUGGGUGUGGAUUAAAAAUGGACUUUUUUUGCCCCAAGCAACAAAGAGGCAUCUUAGAAAAUAGACAAGAGACAAGAAGAAGAGAAGCUUUAAGAGAUAUUUGGUCCAAGGAAGAGACUAUUCAGAUGGAAGGUCACAUCAGCUAGAAACAUUAAUAUGACUGGAUGGGCUCAAACCACUGACUUUUCAGUCAACAUCCGACAGCACUAACCCAGUGUUCCAGAGACACUGCUUGUUAAACAGUGAAAGCUGUUGCUCAAUUGUGUCAUCCGUAAUUGUCAAAUAUUGCCAUUUAGUAGCACAAGGAAGUAUUCUCCGUUGCCAAGCUAGAGUACCCAUAACUCUUCUGUUUUGUUGAACAUUCUUCCCCACCACAAACCCUCUUUAGAAGACUGGGGGCUCCUAAAGCAUUGAGGCCGAGAGUCCCGUCCUUGUGCAUGUUUGGGCAUUGACCCACGGCCAAGUCAGUGGGAGACUCCUCCACGCCUACGCCAGGUCCCCAGGUGACAACUGCAGUCUCUGGAUCUGAAGUCAUCCACUUUCCCAUUCCUAGCUCACCUCACCCAUCGUGAAGCCUGGUUAGUAUUGCCAGAGACCCGAGUGGGCAGAUGCCCACACCAAAGACAGAACCUGCUGUGUGCCCACCUUGCUGAUCCCUCCAUCCUUCUAGACAAAGGCUUCAUAAGCCAGGGACCUUGGGUUUGCUCACAAGGCAGCCCCUCACCUAGUAGGCAUUAGUUCAUUAUGUAUAUGUAUAUGUAGUCCUCAGGUUGUAUUCCUUAAAUAUAU